CAUGGUUGUCGUCAGCUCGUGUCGUGAGAUGUUGGUUAAGUCCCGCAACGAGCGCAACCCCUAUUGCUAGUUACCAUCAUUAAGUUGGGGACUCUAGCGAGACUGCCAGUGAUAAACUGGAGGAAGGUGGGGAUGACGUCAAAUCAUCAUGCCCCUUAUGACCUGGGCUACAAACGUGAUACAAUGGCUGGAACAAAGGGAUGCGAAGCAGUGAUGUGGAGCGAAACCCAUAAAAACAGUCUCAGUUCGGAUUGAAGUCUGCAACUCGACUUCAUGAAGUCGGAAUCGCUAGUAAUCGCGGAUCAGAACGCCGCGGUGAAUACGUUCUCGGGGUUU
This 336-nucleotide ribosomal RNA is filed under the name uncultured Acholeplasma sp. Its description in RNAcentral is "bacterial SSU rRNA". It matches the Rfam family "Bacterial small subunit ribosomal RNA", at positions 1044 to 1382 of the family's 1533-position model. Lineage: Bacteria; Bacillati; Mycoplasmatota; Mollicutes; Acholeplasmatales; Acholeplasmataceae. The record is from RNAcentral.